RNAcentral lists this long non-coding RNA (832 nucleotides) under Nicotiana benthamiana. RNAcentral describes it as "long non-coding RNA (NBEN_LNC040868)". Lineage: Eukaryota; Viridiplantae; Streptophyta; Magnoliopsida; Solanales; Solanaceae. The record is from RNAcentral.
UAGUCUUCUGAUGAAAUUCAGUUCAUGUGACCCAAAAUCCACACCAUUGAUUCUAUUAUUUGGGAAAGGAAUCCGUACAUAAUCAGAUCUUUGCACUAAUGUGUUUGAGCAGAGGUGAGCUGCCCAGAAAAAUAAUUGUUUUACUCUGAGUCGCCCUUUCUAUCUAUUAAAUUAUUAGGAAAAUUUGUGAUCUUCUGGUUGAAUCCGGAUGUUCUUUUUAUUACUUUGACAGCUUACAGUAUCCUACCAUACUCAUUACUCUUUCCAAUGUACAUUUGAAACUUUUAGCUGAUAUUGUAACUUCUGAAUUGGAACAAUCGAUCUUGGUGCAUAUUGUGAUUAGAAUUUGCUUCAUCCAUGUCAAUCUCAGAAGGUUUCAGAUCAUUCUGAAUGUAUGCAUAGGCAUGCUUAGCCCUUUCAUAUUCGUGUGGAGGAUCAGCUGCAGUUCUUUGACAUUCUGAAUGUAUGCAUAGGCAUGCUUAUCCCUUUCAUAUUUGUGUGGAGGAUCAGCUGCAGUUCUUUGACACAGUCUACCAUUGACGGCCUUUCACUACUGUCGGCUCGCACACAACGAGAGGCUAGAUUAGCAAACAUGGUUACGGACUCCAUUGUAUAUGAGCUCCUGUUAAUCUCAGGGUCAAUCACCUUGCGCAGCUUCUUCUUAUCAUUCAAUAUAUGCCUGACCUGCAAUAUCCUCAUAGCAGUUAGUGUCCUAUAUUUGAAAAAAUUUGGAACCAAUUUUCAUUUUUGCUGCUAUUAUAAUAAUUUUGGUCCUUACCUGUAGUACUAAAUUCUGAUCAUUUGGUCCAAGGGUGAGGUCAACGGCCCUGCG